Molecule: long non-coding RNA, 903 nt
Organism: Xenia sp. Carnegie-2017
Lineage: Eukaryota; Metazoa; Cnidaria; Anthozoa; Malacalcyonacea; Xeniidae
Exons: 3
Source: RefSeq, a predicted model, not a curated record
UAACUUCCGAUCUAAAAAAUUAGAUGUAAUAUGAACUUUUUGCCAUUUUUGUGAACUUUUGACGCAAGCGAGCAUGAAUAUUUUAAAAUUUCGAAACUUUGAGUUUAUUUUCUUUGUCUUCCUCAGUUUAUUGUAAAUAAAACGUUAUCCACUCUGUGGCAUUUCGUUGUUCGUGUCUUAUGACAACAAUUUUAGUCGCCAUUUUGUGGAAUAUUUUAGUUAUUUGUGUUAAACUUGGAAAUGUUAACGUGAAAAAAACUGAACCGAACGAAGAAAAAGUAGAAGCAAUACAUUCAUUCUGUGCUUGAUCUCAUAAGAUAAAUCGUAUUUCACCGCCUACCUAUGUUGUCAAAACGACAACAAUGAAUCGAGAAGAAGGUUUAAAAGCUUUGGAAACUUCAAUCAAAACCAUUGAAGAAGUCAUUAUGAACAAGAAAGCCAAAGGUUGUCACAGGUAUGGAUGAAGCAGAUUUUGCAAAGGAACUGGAAAAACUUGAACGUCAAAAUGCAGAAGUUGAUGGUGAUGAUGAUAAUCCUGAUGAUGAAGAAAAACAAGAUGAAGCAUAAAUGAUUGUGGUUUGUUUUAAAACUUGCUGUGUUUUAUUUUUAUCAUACACGACCUGCAGUUGUCUUGAACAACAAUUAGUUUAACUUCAAACUCUAUUCAAACCCUAUACAUUACAAACAUUAAUUAUUUUCUAUAGACGAUCCGAAAUAGAUAUUUCAUUGUCAAUAUUUAACGAGGCAGUUUUUGAAGGUCCCCUGUUCGGGUUAAACUGCAGCUCUGAAUUUGUAGUUUGUGUUGAAUAGGACAUUCGUCAUCGUGAAACUAUUGUAAAUGCCAAGUCGUUGAAAUGAAAGCAUAUUUAGAAAGGAGAUCAUUAAAUUUCAUAUUGCUAACAA